UAGCAAUAGGUUGAUGGCGACCGGCGCACGGGUGAGUAACACGUAUCCAACCUACCGGUUAUUCCGGGAUAGCCUUUCGAAAGAAAGAUUAAUACCGGAUAGUAUAACGAGAAGGCAUCUUCUUGUUAUUAAAGAAUUUCGAUAACCGAUGGGGAUGCGUUCCAUUAGUUUGUUGGCGGGGUAACGGCCCACCAAGACAUCGAUGGAUAGGGGUUCUGAGAGGAAGGUCCCCCACAUUGGAACUGAGACACGGUCCAAACUCCUACGGGAGGCAGCAGUGAGGAAUAUUGGUCAAUGGACGAGAGUCUGAACCAGCCAAGUAGCGUGAAGGAUGACUGCCCUAUGGGUUGUAAACUUCUUUUAUAUGGGAAUAAAGUGAGCCACGUGUGGCUUUUUGUAUGUACCAUACGAAUAAGGAUCGGCUAACUCCGUGCCAGCAGCCGCGGUAAUACGGAGGAUCCGAGCGUUAUCCGGAUUUAUUGGGUUUAAAGGGAGCGUAGGCGGACUAUUAAGUCAGCUGUGAAAGUUUGCGGCUCAACCGUAAAAUUGCAGUUGAUACUGGUCGUCUUGAGUGCAGUAGAGGUAGGCGGAAUUCGUGGUGUAGCGGUGAAAUGCUUAGAUAUCACGAAGAACUCCGAUUGCGAAGGCAGCUUACUGGACUGUAACUGACGCUGAUGCUCGAAAGUGUGGGUAUCAAACAGGAUUAGAUACCCUGGUAGUCCACACAGUAAACGAUGAAUACUCGCUGUUUGCGAUAUACAGCAAGCGGCC
This 771-nucleotide ribosomal RNA is filed under the name uncultured bacterium. RNAcentral's name for it is "bacterial SSU rRNA". It matches the Rfam family "Bacterial small subunit ribosomal RNA", at positions 77 to 848 of the family's 1533-position model. The record is from RNAcentral.